GCAGAAUUCAGUGAAUCAUCGAAUCUUUGAACGCACCUUGCGCUCUUUGGUAUUCCGAGGAGCAUGCCUGUUUGAGUGUCA
This 81-nucleotide ribosomal RNA is filed under the name Tulostoma albicans. RNAcentral's name for it is "partial 5.8S ribosomal RNA". It matches the Rfam family "5.8S ribosomal RNA", at positions 74 to 154 of the family's 154-position model. Rfam says of the family: 5.8S ribosomal RNA (5.8S rRNA) is a component of the large subunit of the eukaryotic ribosome. It is transcribed by RNA polymerase I as part of the 45S precursor that also contains 18S and 28S rRNA. Functionally, it is thought that 5.8S rRNA may be involved in ribosome translocation. Lineage: Eukaryota; Fungi; Basidiomycota; Agaricomycetes; Agaricales; Agaricaceae. The record is from RNAcentral.